UUAUGAUGGCGACCGGCGCACGGGUGCGUAAGGCGUAUGCAACCACCUUUUACAGGGGCAUAACACUGAGAAAUUGGUACUAAUUCCCCAUAAUAUCUGAGACGGCAUCGUUUUGGGUUGAAAACUCCGGUGGUAAAAGAUGGGCAUGCGUUGUAUUAGCUAGUUGGUGAGGUAACGGCUCACCAAGGCGACGAUACAUAGGGGGACUGAGAGGUUAACCCCCCACAUUGGUACUGAGACACGGACCAAACUCCUACGGAAGGCAGCAG
This 269-nucleotide ribosomal RNA is filed under the name uncultured bacterium. Its description in RNAcentral is "partial 16S ribosomal RNA". It matches the Rfam family "Bacterial small subunit ribosomal RNA", at positions 83 to 354 of the family's 1533-position model. The record is from RNAcentral.